Molecule: ribosomal RNA, 465 nt
Filed under: uncultured bacterium
Lineage: Bacteria
Description: partial 16S ribosomal RNA
Rfam family: Bacterial small subunit ribosomal RNA
Source: RNAcentral
GACGAACGCUGGCGGCGUGCUUAACACAUGCAAGUCGAACGGAAAGGCCCCUUCGGGGGUCCUCGAGUGGCGAACGGGUGAGUAACACGUGAGUAACCUGCCCUUGACUUCGGGAUAACUUCAGGAAACUGGGGCUAAUACCGGAUAGGAAUCCUUGCUGCAUGGUGGGGGUUGGAAAGCUUCGGCGGUUUUGGAUGGACUCGCGGCUUAUCAGCUUGUUGGUGGGGUAGUGGCUUACCAAGGCUUUGACGGGUAGCCGGCCUGAGAGGGCGACCGGCCACAUUGGGACUGAGAUACGGCCCAGACUCCUACGGGAGGCAGCAGUGGGGAAUAUUGCACAAUGGGCGGAAGCCUGAUGCAGCAACGCCGCGUGCGGGAGGACGGCCUUCGGGUUGUAAACCGCUUUCAGCAGGGGCGAAGCUUGUGGUGACGGUACCUGCAGAAGAAGCACCGGCUAACUACGUG